GACGAACGCUGGCGGCGUGCCUAAUACAUGCAAGUAGAACGCACAGUUUAUACCGUAGCUUGCUACACCAUAGACUGUGAGUUGCGAACGGGUGAGUAACGCGUAGGUAACCUGCCUGGUAGCGGGGGAUAACUAUUGGAAACGAUAGCUAAUACCGCAUAAUAUUAAUUAUUGCAUGAUAAUUAAUUGAAAGGUGCAAUUGCACCACUACCAGAUGGACCUGCGUUGUAUUAGCUAGUAGGUGAGGUAACGGCUCACCUAGGCGACGAUACAUAGCCGACCUGGAGGGGUGCUCGGCCCCGCUGGGACUUGGACCCGGCCCAAGCUCCUAGGGGGGGCGGCAGUAGGGCAUCUUCGGCAAUGGCCGCAAGUCUGACCGCGCCACGCCGCGUGAGUGCAGAAGGUUUUCGGGUCGUAAAGCUCUGUUGUAAGGGAAGAACGGGUGUGAGAGUGGAAAGUUCGCACUGUGCCGGUAUCUUACCAGAAAGGGCCGGCUAACUACGUG
RNAcentral lists this ribosomal RNA (505 nucleotides) under uncultured bacterium. Its description in RNAcentral is "partial 16S ribosomal RNA". It matches the Rfam family "Bacterial small subunit ribosomal RNA", at positions 28 to 507 of the family's 1533-position model. The record is from RNAcentral.